GACGAACGCUGGCGGCGUGCUUAACACAUGCAAGUCGAACGGAAAGGCCCUGCUUUUGUGGGGUGCUCGAGUGGCGAACGGGUGAGUAACACGUGAGUAACCUGCCCUUGACUUUGGGAUAACUUCAGGAAACUGGGGCUAAUACCGGAUAGGAGCUCCUGCUGCAUGGUGGGGGUUGGAAAGUUUCGGCGGGUGGGGAUGGACUCGCGGCUUAUCAGCUUGUUGGUGGGGUAGUGGCUUACCAAGGCUUUGACGGGUAGCCGGCCUGAGAGGGUGACCGGCCACAUGGGGACUGAGAAAAGGCCGAGGCUCCUACGGGAAGCAGCAGGGGGGAAGGUUGCACAGUGGGCGGAAGCAUGAUGCAGCAAGGCCGCGUGGGGGAGGAAGGCCUUCGGGUGGUAAAACACUUUCGCCUGUGACGAAGCGGGGGUGACGGGAAUGGGUAAAGAAGGACCGGCUGACUAAGGG
This 468-nucleotide ribosomal RNA is filed under the name uncultured bacterium. Its description in RNAcentral is "partial 16S ribosomal RNA". It matches the Rfam family "Bacterial small subunit ribosomal RNA", at positions 28 to 507 of the family's 1533-position model. The record is from RNAcentral.